RNAcentral lists this transfer RNA (56 nucleotides) under Strongyloides ratti. RNAcentral's name for it is "tRNA SRAE_M000000012". Lineage: Eukaryota; Metazoa; Nematoda; Chromadorea; Rhabditida; Strongyloididae. The record is from RNAcentral.
GAGAUAUUAUUAUAAUUUAGUAUAACUCUUUUUCGCAGAGUAGGUUUUAUAUCUUG